UGGGGAAUUUUGGACAAUGGGCGCAAGCCUGAUCCAGCCAUGCCGCGUGCGGGAAGAAGGCCUUCGGGUUGUAAACCGCUUUUGUCAGGGAAGAAACGACCUGUGUUAAUACCAUGGGUUAAUGACGGUACCUGGAGAAUAAGCACCGGCUAACUACGUGCCCGCAGCCGCGGUAAUACGUAGGGUGCAAGCGUUAAUCGGAAUUACUGGGCGUAAAGCGUGCGCAGGCGGCCAUGCAAGACAGAUGUGAAAUCCCCGGGCUCAACCUGGGAACUGCAUUUGUGACUGCAUGGCUAGAGUACGGUAGAGGGGGAUGGAAUUCCGCGUGUAGCAGUGAAAUGCGUAGAUAUGCGGAGGAACACCGAUGGCGAAGGCAAUCCCCUGGACCUGUACUGACGCUCAUGCACGAAAGCGUGGGGAGCAAAC
This 426-nucleotide ribosomal RNA is filed under the name uncultured bacterium. RNAcentral's name for it is "bacterial SSU rRNA". It matches the Rfam family "Bacterial small subunit ribosomal RNA", at positions 355 to 773 of the family's 1533-position model. The record is from RNAcentral.